Molecule: ribosomal RNA, 496 nt
Filed under: uncultured bacterium
Lineage: Bacteria
Description: partial 16S ribosomal RNA
Rfam family: Bacterial small subunit ribosomal RNA
Source: RNAcentral
GAUGAACGCUGGCGGCGUGCCUAAUACAUGCAAGUCGAGCGAACGGACGAGAAGCUUGCUUCUCUGAUGUUAGCGGCGGACGGGUGAGUAACACGUGGAUAACCUACCUAUAAGACUGGGAUAACUUCGGGAAACCGUAGCUAAUACCGGAUAAUAUUUUGAACCGCAUGGUUCAAAAGUGAAAGACGGUCUUGCUGUCACUUAUAGAUGGAUCCGCGCUGCAUUAGCUAGUUGGUAAGGUAACGGCUUACCAAGGCAACGAUGCAUAGCCGACCUGAGAGGGUGAUCGGCCACACUGGAACUGAGACACGGUCCAGACUCCUACGGGAGGCAGCAGUAGGGAAUCUUCCGCAAUGGGCGAAAGCCUGACGGAGCAACGCCGCGUGAGUGAUGAAGGUCUUCGGAUCGUAAAACUCUGUUAUUAGGGAAGAACAUAUGUGUAAGUAACUGUGCACAUCUUGACGGUACCUAAUCAGAAGCCACGGCUAACUACGUG